Molecule: transfer RNA, 75 nt
Filed under: Planctomycetaceae bacterium
Lineage: Bacteria; Pseudomonadati; Planctomycetota; Planctomycetia; Planctomycetales; Planctomycetaceae
Description: tRNA-Gly
Rfam family: tRNA
About the family: Transfer RNA (tRNA) molecules are approximately 80 nucleotides in length. Their secondary structure includes four short double-helical elements and three loops (D, anti-codon, and T loops). Further hydrogen bonds mediate the characteristic L-shaped molecular structure. tRNAs have two regions of fundamental functional importance: the anti-codon, which is responsible for specific mRNA codon recognition, and the 3' end, to which the tRNAs corresponding amino acid is attached (by aminoacyl-tRNA synthetases). tRNAs cope with the degeneracy of the genetic code in two manners: having more than one tRNA (with a specific anti-codon) for a particular amino acid; and 'wobble' base-pairing, i.e. permitting non-standard base-pairing at the 3rd anti-codon position.
Source: RNAcentral
GCGGGCGUAGCUCAGUGGUAGAGCUCCUGCUUCCCAAGCAGGGGGUCGAGGGUUCGAACCCCUUCGCCCGCUCCA